RNAcentral lists this ribosomal RNA (918 nucleotides) under uncultured bacterium. RNAcentral's name for it is "bacterial SSU rRNA". It matches the Rfam family "Bacterial small subunit ribosomal RNA", at positions 26 to 960 of the family's 1533-position model. The record is from RNAcentral.
AGGAUGAACGCUAGCGGUGUGCCUAAUGCAUGCAAGUCGAACGGGAACCUUUAGAUUCGUCUGAAGGGGAGAGUGGCGAACGGGUGAGUAACGCGUUGGUGACCUGCCCCAGAGAGGGGGACAACCAUUGGAAACGAUGGCUAAUACCCCAGAUGUCAUUGUGUUUAGAAAGCAAUGACUAAAGCUCCGGCGCUCUGGGAGGGGCCUGCGUCCCAUCAGCUAGUUGGUAAGGUAAUGGCUUACCAAGGCUAAGACGGGUAGGGGACGUGAGAGCGUGACCCCCCACACUGGUACUGAAACACGGACCAGAUACCUACGGGUAGCAGCAGCAAGGAAUAUUGCCCAAUGGACGAAAGUCUGAGGCAGCAACACCGCGUGGAGGACGAAGGCCUUCGGGUCGUAAACUCCUUUUCUGGGGGAAGAGAAAGGACGGUACCCCAGGAAUAAGGCCCGGCUAACUACGUGCCAGCAGCCGCGGUAAAACGUAGGGGUCAAGCGUUAUCCGGAUUUACUGGGCGUAAAGAGCAUGUAGGCGGUUGCUUAAGUCGGACGUGAAAGCUCCUGGCUCAACUAGGAGAGGCCGUUCGAAACUGAGUAACUCGAGGAUGGUAGAGGAGAGUGGAAUUCCCGGUGUAGUGGUGAAAUGCGUAGAUAUCGGGAGGAACACCAGUGGCGAAGGCGGCUCUCUGGGCCAUUCCUGACGCUGAGAUGCGAAAGCUAGGGGAGAGAACGGGAUUAGAAACCCCGGUAUUCCUAGCCGUAAACGAUGUCAACUAGGUGUAGGAGGUAUUGACCCCUUCUGUGCUGCAGCAAACGCGUUAAGUUGACCGCCUGGGGACUACGGCCGCAAGGCUAAACUCAAAGGAAUUGACGGGGACCCGCACAAGCAGCGGAGCGUGUGGUUUAAUUCGAGGCUAC